This 253-nucleotide ribosomal RNA is filed under the name uncultured bacterium. RNAcentral describes it as "partial 16S ribosomal RNA". It matches the Rfam family "Bacterial small subunit ribosomal RNA", at positions 524 to 776 of the family's 1533-position model. The record is from RNAcentral.
UACGGAGGGAGCUAGCGUUGUUCGGAAUUACUGGGCGUAAAGCGCACGUAGGCGGCUUUGUAAGUUAGAGGUGAAAGCCCGGAGCUCAACUCCGGAAUUGCCUUUAAGACUGCAUCGCUCGAAUCCAGGAGAGGUGAGUGGAAUUCCGAGUGUAGAGGUGAAAUUCGUAGAUAUUCGGAAGAACACCAGUGGCGAAGGCGGCUCACUGGACUGGUAUUGACGCUGAGGUGCGAAAGCGUGGGGAGCAAACAGG